GAGCUCGUAGGCGGUUUGUCGCGUCUGCUGUGAAAUCCCGAGGCUCAACCUCGGGUCUGCAGUGGGUACGGGCAGACUAGAGUGCGGUAGGGGAGAUUGGAAUUCCUGGUGUAGCGGUGGAAUGCGCAGAUAUCAGGAGGAACACCGAUGGCGAAGGCAGAUCUCUGGGCCGCUACUGACGCUGAGGAGCGAAAGGGUGGGGAGCAAACAGGCUUAGAUACCCUGGUAGUCCACCCCGUAAACGUUGGGCGCUAGAUGUGGGGACCAUUCCACGGUUUCCGUGUCGUAGCUAACGCAUUAAGCGCCCCGCCUGGGGAGUACGGCCGCAAGGCUAAAACUCAAAGGAAUUGACGGGGGCCCGCACAAGCGGCGGAGCAUGCGGAUUAAUUCGAUGCAACGCGAAGAACCUUACCAAGGCUUGACAUAUACGAGAACGGGCCAGAAAUGGUCAACUCUUUGGACACUCGUAAACAGGUGGUGCAUGGUUGUCGUCAGCUCGUGUCGUGAGAUGUUGGGUUAAGUCCCGCAACGAGCGCAACCCUCGUUCUAUGUUGCCAGCACGUAAUGGUGGGAACUCAUGGGAUACUGCCGGGGUCAACUCGGAGGAAGGUGGGGACGACGUCAAAUCAUCAUGCCCCUUAUGUCUUGGGCUUCACGCAUGCUACAAUGGCCAGUACAAAGGGCUGCAAUACCGUAAGGUGGAGCGAAUCCCAAAAAGCUGGUCCCAGUUCGGAUUGAGGUCUGCAACUCGACCUCAUGAAGUCGGAGUCGCUAGUAAUCGCAGAUCAGCAACGCUGCGGUGAAUACGUUCCCGGGCCUUGUACACACCGCCCGUCAAGUCAUGAAAGUCGGUAACACCCGAAGCCAGUGGCCUAACCGCAAGGAUGGAGCUGUCUAAGGUGGGAUCGGUAAUUAGGACGAAGUCGUA
RNAcentral lists this ribosomal RNA (928 nucleotides) under Plantibacter sp. RNAcentral's name for it is "bacterial SSU rRNA". It matches the Rfam family "Bacterial small subunit ribosomal RNA", at positions 565 to 1490 of the family's 1533-position model. The record is from RNAcentral. Lineage: Bacteria; Bacillati; Actinomycetota; Actinomycetes; Micrococcales; Microbacteriaceae.